GAUGAACGCUGGCGGCGUGCCUAAUACAUGCAAGUCGAGCGAACGGACGAGAAGCUUGCUUCUCUGAUGUUAGCGGCGGACGGGUGAGUAACACGUGGAUAACCUACCUAUAAGACUGGGAUAACCUCGGGAAACCGGAGCUAAUACCGGAUAAUAUUUUGAACCGCAUGGUUCAAAAGUGAAAGACGGUCUUGCUGUCACUUAUAGAUGGAUCCGCGCUGCAUUAGCUAGUUGGUAAGGUAACGGCUUACCAAGGCAACGAUGCAUAGCCGACCUGAGAGGGUGAUCGGCCACACUGGAACUGAGACACGGUCCAGACUCCUACGGGAGGCAGCAGUAGGGAAUCUUCCGCAAUGGGCGAAAGCCUGACGGAGCAACGCCGCGUGAGUGAUGAAGGUCUUCGGAUCGUAAAACUCUGUUAUUAGGGAAGAACAUAUGUGUAAGUAACUGUGCACGUCUUGACGGUACCUAAUCAGAAAGCCACGGCUAACUACGUG
This 497-nucleotide ribosomal RNA is filed under the name uncultured bacterium. Its description in RNAcentral is "partial 16S ribosomal RNA". It matches the Rfam family "Bacterial small subunit ribosomal RNA", at positions 28 to 507 of the family's 1533-position model. The record is from RNAcentral.